This 253-nucleotide ribosomal RNA is filed under the name uncultured bacterium. RNAcentral describes it as "partial 16S ribosomal RNA". It matches the Rfam family "Bacterial small subunit ribosomal RNA", at positions 524 to 776 of the family's 1533-position model. The record is from RNAcentral.
UACGGAGGGUGCGAGCGUUGUCCGGAAUCAUUGGGCGUAAAGGGCGCGUAGGUGGCUUCUUAAGCGUGCGGUGAAAGCCUGGGGCUCAACCCCGGGUCGGCCGUGCGAACUGGGGGGCUGGAGCACUGUAGAGGCAGGCGGAAUUCCGGGUGUAGCGGUGGAAUGCGUAGAGAUCCGGAAGAACACCGGUGGCGAAGGCGGCGAUCUGGGUCGAUACUGACGCUGAGGUGCGAAAGCGUGGGGAGCAAACAGG